Molecule: long non-coding RNA, 277 nt
Organism: Arabidopsis thaliana (thale cress)
Lineage: Eukaryota; Viridiplantae; Streptophyta; Magnoliopsida; Brassicales; Brassicaceae
Product: other RNA
Exons: 1
Source: RefSeq
UUGUUGGAAGAAGCGAUCUCGCGACAGAUGACAUAGAAGGGAUCGUGGCGGCGGAUUGAUGAUGGUUUUGACCCAAUCCUUCGACGACAGGAGGACCGUGAUAUUGAAAAUGGCGAGAUUGAUGAAUGUAAUUUUGAUUUAGAUGAGAAGAUGUUACAGAAGAAGAAGAAGUAGCCAUGGAAGAGGACGAGGAGGCUGAAGGAGCUUGGGAAUUAGAGUUUCGAAAUGGAAGUUUGAAUUUGCCCCAACGUCGACCAUCGGAAUCUGAUUUGUCCUC